Molecule: ribosomal RNA, 1008 nt
Filed under: Triticum aestivum (bread wheat)
Lineage: Eukaryota; Viridiplantae; Streptophyta; Magnoliopsida; Poales; Poaceae
Description: partial small subunit ribosomal RNA
Source: RNAcentral
AUGCGAAAGAAUCACUUUGGCCCCAUAAUUUGGACAUGUGUUUCAGAUGACUUUGACACAAAAAGGUUAACGAAAGCGAUUUUAGAGGGCUUCGGAGGAGAUGCAUCAUCUGAUAAUCUGAAUGUUCUUAUGGGUAAACUAGAAGGUCGUGCCAAGUCCAAUAAGUUUUUGCUUGUCCUUGAUGACAUGUGGGAUGAUAUCUUGAAGCAUGACGCGGCAGGGUGGAAGAGCUUGUGUGAAUGUUUGAAAAGUGGCGCUGAAGGGAGUAGGAUUUUGGUCACCACUAGAUUUCGUGAGGUUGCUGAGCUAGUUGGCCCAAUGAAUAAUUAUGAGUUAAAUGGCUUAGAACCAAAGGUAUUCUGGGAUUUCUUCAAAUCCUGUGCAUUUGGAUCCACGAGUUCUUGCAACGACCAGGUGUCAUUGGAGUUGGAGUGCGUUGCUAAAGACAUUGUUCCAAAAUUGAAGGGUUCCCCAUUAGCUGCCAAGACUAUUGGCCGCUUGCUGGGAAUGGAGCUAAGUACAACACACUGGGAAAAUAUAAAGGAAAGUGAACUAUGGCAAUUAAAACAAAAAGAUACUGACAUUCUGCCAGCCCUUCGACUGAGCUAUAUGUACCUACCGCAGAAACUGAGGAAAUGCUUCUCAAUCUGUGCAAUGUUUCCCAAGGAUCACAAAUUUGGGAAGGAUUUUCUGGCUGAUAUUUGGAUUGCACACGGAUAUGUCGAGGGGCCCCAAGAAGCAUCAGUGUCCUUUGAUGCCCUUGCAAAUCGUUCAUUCUUUCAGAAAGCAUCACCACAGAGUGUUAAGUACUAUGUAAUUCAUGAUCUGAUGCAUGAUACAGCACAGCUAGUCUCAAAGGGUGAGUGCUUCUUUAUCAAGCAUGCUAGUGACCUAGAUAAAGUUCCUUCAAAUGUCCGUCAUCUGUCAAUAUUCACAAACGGAAAUGUUCAGUGUUCUGAAUUAAAGAGCCUAUGUGACAAGAAAUAUUUGAGCCCUGGUAUGCGAUGA